AAGGAAGAUCACGAGUGAAUGGGUGUGUUUUCUUCAACUUCGUCCAGUCAAGAAAUUUUUUUCCAAGGCCACAAUCUACACCCCCAAACUGAGACAAACACAUUGUAUCAGAAAGAGAGUUGAGGAACAAAAGCUCCAAGACUCAAAUAACUACUAGAAACUUCAGAACAGACACCCCACUGACAUCAUCCUUUAAAUGUAGGAAGGAGCUUCAUACUCGUCUUGCAACCCAGGAUAUGGACUCGCCUUCCCUGUUUGCUUACCUUCCUAUGACCUGCCAUUUCUAGCCUUCUGUCUCUGCCAAAAAACAAAGUUUUGUUCUGACUACAUGAAAGAACAUUGCUGGAGUCUGCGGCUGUUUGGAAGAAUAUCUCCAAGUGUGAGGCUGAACGUCUUCAAUUAAUUUUCAAAGAACGUUUUCUUCCAUGGAGAUCUGUUUGGGAUUUUGUGACUCAAAGCAUUGUGUUUUAAGCCUCGUUUCAAACUGAGCAUCCUUCUUUAAUUUUUCUCAUCACACAGAGUGUACGCUAGUAGGCAGCUCCCUGGGACCUGUGUCUGAUCACAGCCCACAUUCAGCGGGAGGGACCUUCCAAGGCAAGAUCUAAAGUGGCGAUAGCACAGAAAGAAACAGAAGCCUUCUGAGAAGCUCCUUUUGUCUUUCAUAAGUGAAGUGGAAGAACCAGGACUGGACAGAUGGAGAAAUUGAACUGUGAUGCAAUUGAAACAAAGGCCUCAGCUGAUCCCUGGGGGAGCACUGGAGCAGGAAGGCCCCUUCAGAGUUAUCCUGAAUUGAGGCAAAGAGGCCGGUCCUUUGAACUUUCCUGGCCCCAACAUCAGUCAGUCAUUGAAUGCAGGCUGCCCCUAGGGAGAAGGCACAGACUUAGGCAAGGCAGCUCCCUUUGGCAGAAGACAAAGCCCAGAGAAAGAGGGAACUCCUGGAGACAAAACUGGCUGUCUUUUUCGGCAACCAACACUCCUAGCUUUCAACAGACAGAAUGAGCCCAUAAAAGUGGGGCGGGU
This 1020-nucleotide long non-coding RNA is filed under the name Equus asinus (donkey). Its description in RNAcentral is "lncRNA (ENSEASG00005029645.1)". The record is from RNAcentral. Lineage: Eukaryota; Metazoa; Chordata; Mammalia; Perissodactyla; Equidae.